UGAGCAGGUCUGGAUUAUUAAAAAUGCGUUUCCAUACCUCUGAGGUGUCUCACUUCCGGAAACACGGACACUGAAAUCGUAUAAAAGGAUCGAAUCCGUAGUGUUCCGCACAGCAUUUGACUUUCCUUUGCUACCUGCUGGUGCUGCGUUGGAUAAUACGCAUCCCAAAGAUGAGUUUCCAAGAUUGUUGUGAGCACAGACAGCCCUUCUUUCUGUCUCCCAACACCCAGCUGGGGAAUUCUUCCUUACGAAGACUUGAAGAUGGCUUAAGAAAUCUGGCUAACACCCCUCUAGUGGCUCCAUAUCUGUAUUCACUUAGAAAUGGUGGGAAUCCUCAGGGCAACCCCAUUAACUUCAACCAGGGCAAUCUUGCUAUGUCCCAGAAUCGCAGGUGUGUGGAUCCCUGCAGCAACGAUGUGACCAGGGGCAACACCAUUUACUUGAACCUGGGCACUAUAGAUGUGUCCCAGUGUACUGGGAGGGGCGUGAAUCAAUGCAGUGGAGCUGGGAGCAAAGGCAACACCAUUUACUUGAACCUGGGCACUAUUGAUGUGUCCCAGAAUGCCGGGAGGGGCGUGAAUGCCUGCAGUGGAGCUGGGAGCAAUGGCAACACCAAUUUCUUGAACCUGGGCACUAUUGAUGUGUCUCAGAAUGCCAGGAGGUGUAUGAAUCCAUGCAGUGGAGCUGAGAGCGAUGGCAACACCAUUUUCUUGAACCUGGGUCUCAUUGAUGUCUGAUGAAGGAACUGUGCUGCUCCAUGAGGGCCUGCAUGUGGGGGCUCCCAUGGUGACAGCCUCAAGGUGACCCUACUCUGCAGUGCCAUUGUCUGGUGGAGUCUCCGAAGCCUAAGGAAUGAAAAUGGUUUGCUGAUCCCUAUGCUUACCAACAUCUUUCUUCAAGCUUCACUUUCCCAGUGCACUUCCUGCCCCUAGAAGAGUAAAUGCUCCAAUGGUUUCUUCUCAUGCUUGGCAUAAUUUCUACUGUAUUUAAUCGAAGAACAAUGCCUUUCCUUGUAACUUGUACCUAAGUGACUUUGUGCCCCCAGGGUGUAGCCUGGGAGAUGUAUUCUGUAAUUCCUCUUUGUACUGAUGUGGCUGGAGGAAUUUGCCCAUCUGUUCUUCUUUACCAUCUUGUUCCUCUUCUUGUGACAAGCAAUAAUAAAAAAGUGAGCACAGCA
This is a long non-coding RNA of Melopsittacus undulatus (budgerigar), 1177 nucleotides long. RefSeq lists it as uncharacterized. Lineage: Eukaryota; Metazoa; Chordata; Aves; Psittaciformes; Psittaculidae. The transcript has 2 exons. The record is from RefSeq and is a predicted model, not a curated record.